CCUACGGGUGGCAGCAGUGGGGAAUAUUGCACAAUGGGGGAAACCCUGAUGCAGCCACGCCGCGUGAGUGAAGAAGUAUUUCGGUAUGUAAAGCUCCAUCAGUCGGGAAGCGAAUGACGGUACCUGACUAAGACGCCCCGUCUAACUACGUGACAGCAGCCCCGGUAAUACGUCGGCAGCGAGCGUUAUCCGGAUUUACUGGGGGUAAAGGGAGCGUAGACGGUUCUGCAAGUCUGAAGUGAAAGCCCGUGGCUUAACCGCGGAACGGCUUUGGAAACUGUGGCACUGGAGUGCUGGAGAGGCAAGCGGAAUGCCUAGUGUAGCGGUGAAAUGCGUAGAUAUUAGGAGGAACACCAGUGGCGAAGGCGGCUUGCUGGACAGUAACUGACGUUGAGGCUCGAAAGCGUGGGGAGCAAACAGGAUUAGAUACCCGGGUAGUC
This 440-nucleotide ribosomal RNA is filed under the name uncultured bacterium. RNAcentral describes it as "partial 16S ribosomal RNA". It matches the Rfam family "Bacterial small subunit ribosomal RNA", at positions 338 to 795 of the family's 1533-position model. The record is from RNAcentral.